CCGCCGGCCUUUUUGCGUGGCUUUCUCUAGUGACGCUCUACGUUGGCUCAGCUUCCCCGCCCCCAAUCUCGGCUCUGGUCACUUGCCUUUCUACCGCUGGAGCGUACGGCCUUCUUCCUUUCUGCGUUCUCUUCUCUCCCGGUUUUGAUUUGUUUUUCUAAAUCUUCCGAAAGGCGUUUCAUUUUUCACUCGUAUCAGAAGUGAUAUAAAAUCGUUAUCCUAUCAGUCCCUGUUUCUCAUUAGAGAAGAAAUCUAAUUCAUGCUCACUUUCUUGAAAAAUAGUUUUAACAGUAAACAAAAGGCAAACCAAAAAAUGAAGAAUGCGUUCUCCUUGUCAAAAAGACCUCAUCCACCACCCUCCUUUCCAGACGGAGGGCCUACCAAGUUCUGAAGACACUUCUAAACUAUGUAAAUUCAGCAGUGAGUAAAACAAAGUCCUUCCUCUCAUGAAGCUUUCAUUCUAAUGAGAAAGAUAAUAAACAGCUUCUAUUUCUUCAUGGGCCUCUCUUUAAAGAAGACACUCAAGCCACAGUAAACCAUUUGUAGCUCCAAAGAACAUAUUGUAAGUUUUCCUAAUUCUGUAGCUUUGUUUAUGCUUCAUUCUUUGCUUUGGCUGCCAGGAGUGCCCUUCCUCAUCCUGUACACCGGUUAACACCUGGUUUUCUUUGAAGACAAAUAAAAACUUAUGUCCUGUAUGAAACUUCUUCUGACCACUUCCCUUUUUCCUUUGCUUAGAAUUUAUUUUUCCCACUUUAUAGCUCAAACUUAAAAAAAAAAUUGCUUCUGUAAUGUUUUAUUGCAUUUGCUUGCUUUACUUAUGUGUGUUAGGGAAAUUAAAAGUCUUGUUCAGGCUUCAGAAAGUAGGACAACAGGCCUCUGACCAACUUUCGACCUGCCUGCACCCUGCCUGGACUAUGAGUCUGCCUGCAAGCACACCAGCUGUUACCAGCAAGUCAAGCAGCAACUUAGAUAAGAAAGGGAGUGGGUCUUAGAAUUUCUUGAGCCCCUGGGGCUCAAGUAGCGCCUGCAACUGAUGAUGAUAUUAGUUUUCAGCCUGGGAUUAUAAAUGGGAGCCUGCCUCCACCCCCCAAACUGCAAUCUGAAGUCUCAACCAUGGAGUGGAUGCACCGCCCAGGACCCUUUCCCCUAAUAGGACUCCGGAUUGCUGUUACUCAGGACUUCCCAGUGCUGUUCAAGUCGGGAUGCAGGU
Non-coding RNA from Odocoileus virginianus texanus, 1210 nucleotides. The record is from RefSeq and is a predicted model, not a curated record. NCBI's taxonomy places the organism in Eukaryota, Metazoa, Chordata, Mammalia, Artiodactyla, Cervidae.